Molecule: ribosomal RNA, 2641 nt
Filed under: Falsibacillus pallidus
Lineage: Bacteria; Bacillati; Bacillota; Bacilli; Caryophanales; Bacillaceae
Description: bacterial LSU rRNA
Rfam family: Bacterial large subunit ribosomal RNA
Source: RNAcentral
AAAGGUCCAUCAGAGAAGGUAAAAAUCCUGUAGUUGAAACUUCGUUCCCUCCAGAGUGGAUCCUGAGUACGGCGGGACACGUGAAAUCCCGUCGGAAGCUGGGAGGACCAUCUCCCAAGGCUAAAUACUCCCUAGUGACCGAUAGUGAACCAGUACCGUGAGGGAAAGGUGAAAAGCACCCCGGAAGGGGAGUGAAAGAGAUCCUGAAACCGUGUGCCUACAAGUAGUCAGAGCCCGUUAAUGGGUGAUGGCGUGCCUUUUGUAGAAUGAACCGGCGAGUUACGAUUACAUGCAAGGUUAAGCUGAUGAGGCGGAGCCGCAGCGAAAGCGAGUCUGAAUAGGGCGUUUUGAGUAUGUGGUCGUAGACCCGAAACCAGGUGAUCUACCCAUGUCCAGGGUGAAGUCCAGGUAACACUGGAUGGAGGCCCGAACCCACGCACGUUGAAAAGUGCGGGGAUGAGGUGUGGGUAGCGGAGAAAUUCCAAUCGAACCUGGAGAUAGCUGGUUCUCUCCGAAAUAGCUUUAGGGCUAGCCUCAACGGAAGAGUCUUGGAGGUAGAGCACUGUUUGGACUAGGGGCCCUCAUCGGGUUACCGAAUUCAGACAAACUCCGAAUGCCAAAGACUUAUCGUUGGGAGUCAGACUGCGAGUGAUAAGAUCCGUAGUCGAAAGGGAAACAGCCCAGACCACCAGCUAAGGUCCCCAAGUAUACGUUAAGUGGAAAAGGAUGUGGAGUUGCUUAGACAACCAGGAUGUUGGCUUAGAAGCAGCCACCAUUUAAAGAGUGCGUAAUAGCUCACUGGUCGAGUGACUCUGCGCCGAAAAUGUACCGGGGCUAAACGUAUCACCGAAGCUGUGGAUUGACACCUCUGGUGUCAGUGGUAGGAGAGCGUUCUAAGGGCGUUGAAGCUAGACCGUAAGGACUGGUGGAGCGCUUAGAAGUGAGAAUGCCGGUAUGAGUAGCGAAAGAUGGGUGAGAAUCCCAUCCACCGAAUGCCUAAGGUUUCCUGAGGAAGGCUCGUCCGCUCAGGGUUAGUCGGGACCUAAGCCGAGGCCGAAAGGCGUAGGCGAUGGAUAACAGGUUGAUAUUCCUGUACCACCUCUUGAUCGUUUGAGCAAUGGGGGGACGCAGAAGGAUAGGGUAAGCGCGCUGUUGGAUAUGCGCGUCUAAGCAGCAAGGCUGAUGAUGAGGCAAAUCCUUGUCAUCGUAAGGCUGAGCUGUGACAGCGAGGGAAAUUUAGUACCGAAGUUCCUGAUUUCACACUGCCUAGAAAAGCCUCUAGCAAGAUCAAUGGUGCCCGUACCGCAAACCGACACAGGUAGGCGAGGAGAGAAUCCUAAGGUGAGCGAGAGAACUCUCGUUAAGGAACUCGGCAAAAUGACCCCGUAACUUCGGGAGAAGGGGUGCUCUGGUAGGGUGCAAGCCCGAGAGAGCCGCAGUGAAUAGGCCCAGGCGACUGUUUAGCAAAAACACAGGUCUCUGCGAAGCCGCAAGGCGAAGUAUAGGGGCUGACGCCUGCCCGGUGCUGGAAGGUUAAGGAGAGGGGUUAGCGCAAGCGAAGCUCUGAACCGAAGCCCCAGUAAACGGCGGCCGUAACUAUAACGGUCCUAAGGUAGCGAAAUUCCUUGUCGGGUAAGUUCCGACCCGCACGAAAGGCGUAACGAUCUGGGCACUGUCUCAACGAGAGACUCGGUGAAAUUAUAGUACCUGUGAAGAUGCAGGUUACCCGCGACAGGACGGAAAGACCCCGUGGAGCUUUACUGUAGCCUGAUAUUGAAUUUUGGUACAGCUUGUACAGGAUAGGUAGGAGCCGUUGAAACCGGAGCGCCAGCUUCGGUGGAGGCAUCGGUGGGAUACUACUCUGGCUGUAUUGAAAUUCUAACCCACGCCCCUUAUCGGGGCGGGAGACAGUGUCAGGUGGGCAGUUUGACUGGGGCGGUCGCCUCCUAAAAGGUAACGGAGGCGCCCAAAGGUUCCCUCAGAAUGGUUGGAAAUCAUUCGUAGAGUGUAAAGGCACAAGGGAGCUUGACUGCGAGACCUACAAGUCGAGCAGGGACGAAAGUCGGGCUUAGUGAUCCGGUGGUUCCGCAUGGAAGGGCCAUCGCUCAACGGAUAAAAGCUACCCCGGGGAUAACAGGCUUAUCUCCCCCAAGAGUCCACAUCGACGGGGAGGUUUGGCACCUCGAUGUCGGCUCAUCGCAUCCUGGGGCUGUAGUCGGUCCCAAGGGUUGGGCUGUUCGCCCAUUAAAGCGGUACGCGAGCUGGGUUCAGAACGUCGUGAGACAGUUCGGUCCCUAUCCGUCGUGGGCGCAGGAAAUUUGAGAGGAGCUGUCCUUAGUACGAGAGGACCGGGAUGGACGCACCGCUGGUGUACCAGUUGUCUUGCCAAAGGCAUCGCUGGGUAGCUAUGUGCGGAAGGGAUAAGUGCUGAAAGCAUCUAAGCAUGAAGCCCCCCUCAAGAUGAGAUUUCCCAUAGCGUCAAGCUAGUAAGAUCCCUGAAAGAUGAUCAGGUUGAUAGGUCCGAGGUGGAAGCACGGCGACGUGUGCAGCUGACGGAUACUAAUCGAUCGAGGACUUAACCACAUUUGGUUGAUUCCGGUUUAACAUGUCACUUACUCUUUAUCUAGUUUUGAGAGAACAA